Molecule: ribosomal RNA, 492 nt
Filed under: uncultured bacterium
Lineage: Bacteria
Description: partial 16S ribosomal RNA
Rfam family: Bacterial small subunit ribosomal RNA
Source: RNAcentral
AGUGAACGCUGGCGGUAGGCCUAACACAUGCAAGUCGAACGGCAGCACAGUAAGAUCUCGCUCUUACGGGUGGCGAGUGGCGGACGGGUGAGGAAUACAUCGCAAUCUACUUUUUCGUGGGGGAUAACGUAGGGAAACUUACGCUAAUACCGCAUACGACCUACGGGUGAAAGCAGGGGAUCUUCGGACCUUGCGUGAUUGAAUGAGCCGAUGUCGGAUUAGCUAGUUGGCGUGGUAAAGGCCCACCAAGGCGACGAUCCGUAGCUGGUCUGAGAGGAUGAUCAGCCACACUGGAACUGAGACACGGUCCAGACUCCUACGGGAGGCAGCAGUAGGGAAUAUUGGACAAUGGGCGCAAGCCUGAUCCAGCAAUGCCGCGUGGGUGAAGAAGGCCUUCGGAUUGUAAAGCCCUUUUGUUGGGAAAGAAAAGCAGCAGGUUAAUACACGGCUGUUCUGACGGUACCCAAAGAAUAAGCACCGGCUAACUUCGUG